Molecule: long non-coding RNA, 332 nt
Organism: Lineus longissimus
Lineage: Eukaryota; Metazoa; Nemertea; Pilidiophora; Heteronemertea; Lineidae
Exons: 3
Source: RefSeq, a predicted model, not a curated record
CGUAACGUUCUCAAUACGGGGCGUUGAAUUUGGCUGUGCUCCUGGUAUGACAGACCGGUUUUGGGAACACAAGCGUUGAGUUGUGUCGACGCCAAGUCGAAGCACUGGUUCAACAUUGACGCCAGACACGUUGUCCUGUCAAGCACACCCAAUGCUGCCCAACCGGUUUAUCACAAGAUACGACGUGAACACCACCAUGAAGCCCCGACGUCCUUUGAACUUUCAAGAAAUGGUUGGGUUUGGUCAAGGGACUGGUAUUGGAUCUGAUAUAUUAUCAUUGUUGUCUCACCUUUUCGCUAAAUAUGAGGUCUUGAAAAUGCUUGGUAUUGCUC